This 484-nucleotide ribosomal RNA is filed under the name uncultured bacterium. Its description in RNAcentral is "partial 16S ribosomal RNA". It matches the Rfam family "Bacterial small subunit ribosomal RNA", at positions 30 to 507 of the family's 1533-position model. The record is from RNAcentral.
AUUGAACGCUGGCGGCAGGCCUAACACAUGCAAGUCGAGCGGAUGAAGGGAGCUUGCUCCUGGAUUCAGCGGCGGACGGGUGAGUAAUGCCUAGGAAUCUGCCUGGUAGUGGGGGAUAACGUCCGGAAACGGGCGCUAAUACCGCAUACGCCCUGAGGGAGAAAGUGGGGGAUCUUCGGACCUCACGCUAUUAGAUUAGCCUAGGUCGGAUUAGCUAGUUGGUGGGGUAAAGGCCUACCAAGGCGACGAUCCGUAACUGGUCUGAGAGGAUGAUCAGUCACACUGGAACUGAGACACGGUCCAGACUCCUACGGGAGGCAGCAGUGGGGAAUAUUGGACAAUGGGCGAAAGCCUGAUCCAGCCAUGCCGCGUGUGUGAAGAAGGUCUUCGGAUUGUAAAGCACUUUAAGUUGGGAGGAAGGGCAGUAAGUUAAUACCUUGCUGUUUUGACGUUACCAACAGAAUAAGCACCGGCUAACUUCGUG